This is a long non-coding RNA of Sander lucioperca (pikeperch), 243 nucleotides long. RefSeq lists it as uncharacterized. Lineage: Eukaryota; Metazoa; Chordata; Actinopteri; Perciformes; Percidae. The transcript is spliced from 4 exons. The record is from RefSeq and is a predicted model, not a curated record.
GAGAUUGUUAAACUGCGUUUACGGAUUACAGCAUGAGUGACCUCAUAAUCAGGGCCACAGUGAACCUGCGGCUGGAGAAUUACCUAGUUCGUUACUGAACAUCAUUUUGAGCUUCUGAGCUAAUUACGUGCAGGUACUUCUGUUCAUUACCAAUACUGAUCUAAUACUUUGAUUCAUCAAUAUCGAAAUAGGUGUCUGAUUUUGUAACAUAUUUAGCAGUUCGCCGAAGCCGUUUUUUCCAUU